Molecule: non-coding RNA, 1114 nt
Organism: Macaca mulatta (Rhesus monkey)
Lineage: Eukaryota; Metazoa; Chordata; Mammalia; Primates; Cercopithecidae
Source: RefSeq, a predicted model, not a curated record
AUAGCUGAGUACUAGUUUUCACUUUUUGGGGUAUAUACUUAGGAGUGGAAUUGAUGGGUCCUAUGGUAAUUUUAUAUUUCACUUUCUGAGGAAAUGCCAAACUUUUUCCACAGCAGCUGUACUAUUUAACAGUCUCACUAACGGUGUACCAGGUGCUCACUUUUAAGCAUUUCUUUUCCGGAGAGUUUUCUUCUCAGCAUACCUACUGCAAGGAAAAUAGGAAAAUCAGUUGCAUAUUGGGAAUGUCCACAACUUUGACAAUUUGCUAAAUGUUUUUUCUAUAAAAUUGACACCAUAAUGUCCUUGGCUUAAGUUAUACUAUAGCAAUGCUUUAUGGCUUUCUUUUCUUUUUCUUUUUUUCUGCAUCAUGGCAUUGUCAGGAAAUGGCAGCAUUUGUACUGAGAGGAGGGCGUCCGUGGUGAUAGCAGAGGUGGAGGUAGAAAAGGGUUCGCAGUCAAGAUGCGAGCAUUUUGAACCCCCACGUUUACGAAGUGAAAUGCAUUGGUGUCCCAGGAGCGGAGGAGGUUUGGUCUUUGUUGUGGAUGAUACCAGAACAGAGGGUGGACCAGGCCAGAACCAGGAACCCAGGAACUAGCUAAGAAGGAGGAUUCUGGCCAGUGUGGGAGAUAUUCCUUCAAUUGCAGAGGAUUUUGGGAUGGUGGAUGGAUGGGAAGAGCCCACUGAAAGUGUCAUGAAGAGAUGCCUCCACAAGAAGCAGCAAAUGUUGCCAUGAAUUUUCAGGCCACCGGUGGCUGACUUAGUUAUCAUCAUCUUUAUGUGAGUUUUACCUUGCUAAGUACCAUUCAUCAAUUUUUGAAUAUCUAAGGUAUUUGAGGUCGUUCAUUCAAGGCAAAAUGCUGAAAGUAAAAGCGAAAUCAAGAACCCAGGGGCUUUGAAGGCUUUUCUCAACUCGCGGCCACAUUCUGCCUUUAAAAGCACUGACUUGACUUUUACAAGAGCCUGUAGAAUAAUCUAACAGAAAAUGGAAGCCAAGAGCACAGCGAUUCCCUUAAAUAUUUCAUAUUGCAUUUGGAUGUGCAUUUUUCAAAGAUCAUUUCCUUGACAUUUUCUGGGGGUAUAUUUCUUGGGAAAUAAAAUAAAUAUGUUUGGUUGA